This 206-nucleotide long non-coding RNA is filed under the name Elaeis guineensis (African oil palm). RNAcentral describes it as "long non-coding RNA (EGUI_LNC039559)". Lineage: Eukaryota; Viridiplantae; Streptophyta; Magnoliopsida; Arecales; Arecaceae. The record is from RNAcentral.
AUCCGUCAUCAAAAUUUUUCUCCCAUCCUUGCUACUUUCAUGAUCUACGAUCAACAAGGAAAGAUCUGAUCUUGACAAAAGAGGGGGAAUGAUUUUUUUUAUUAGUGAGAAUGGACGGAUGUAGAGGGGCCAUCUAAAGAAAUAGAGUUCAUGGGUUGGUUUGAAGGAGAAAGAGGAUGAGGAGGAAGGAGAGGAGAAGAGGAUGG